GGGGAAUUUUCCGCAAUGGGCGAAAGCCUGACGGAGCAAUACCGCGUGAGGGAGGAAGGCUCUUGGGUCGUAAACCUCUUUUCUCAGGGAAGAAAAAAAUGACGGUACCUGAGGAAUAAGCAUCGGCUAACUCCGUGCCAGCAGCCGCGGUAAUACGGAGGAUGCAAGCGUUAUCCGGAAUGAUUGGGCGUAAAGCGUCCGCAGGUGGCGAUGUAAGUCUGCUGUUAAAGAGUCUAGCUCAACUAGAUAAGAGCAGUGGAAACUACAUAGCUAGAGUACGUUCGGGGCAGAGGGAAUUCCUGGUGUAGCGGUGAAAUGCGUAGAGAUCAGGAAGAACACCAGUGGCGAAGGCGCUCUGCUAGGCCGUAACUGACACUGAGGGACGAAAGCUAGGGGAGCGAAUGGGAUUAGAUACCCCAGUAGUCCUAGCCGUAAACGAUGGAUACUAGGCGUGGCUUGUAUCGACCCGAGCCGUGCCGUAGCUAACGCGUUAAGUAUCCCGCCUGGGGAGUACGCCGGCAACGGUGAAACUCAAAGGAAUUGACGGGGGCCCGCACAAGCGGUGGAGUAUGUGGUUUAAUUCGAUGCAACGCGAAGAACCUUACCAAGGCUUGACAUGUCGCGAAUCUUGAUGAAAGUUGAGAGUGCCUUCGGGAGCGCGAACACAGGUGGUGCAUGGCUGUCGUCAGCUCGUGUCGUGAGAUGUUGGGUUAAGUCCCGCAACGAGCGCAACCCUCGUUUUUAGUUGCCAGCAUUAAGUUGGGCACUCUAGAGAGACUGCCGGUGACAAACCGGAGGAAGGUGGGAUGACGUCAAGUCAGCAUGCCCCUUACGCCUUGGGCUACACACGUACUACAAUGCUCCGGACAGAGGGCAGCAAGCAUGCGAAUGCAAGCAAAUCCCGUAAACCGGAGCUCAGUUCAGAUCGCAGGCUGCAACUCGCCUGCGUGAAGGAGGAAUCGCUAGUAAUUGCAGGUCAGCAUACUGCAGUGAAUUCGUUCCCGGGCCUUGUACACACCGCCCGUCACACCAUGGAAGCUGGUAGUGCCCGAAGUCAUUACUCCAACCUUUCGGGGGGGAGGAUGCCUAAGGCAGGACUGGUGACUGGGGUGAAGUCGUAACAAGGUAGCCGUACCGGAAGGUGUGGCUGGAUCACCUCCUU
This 1162-nucleotide ribosomal RNA is filed under the name Nostoc sp. ATA1-4-CV10. RNAcentral describes it as "bacterial SSU rRNA". It matches the Rfam family "Bacterial small subunit ribosomal RNA", at positions 356 to 1532 of the family's 1533-position model. The record is from RNAcentral. Lineage: Bacteria; Bacillati; Cyanobacteriota; Cyanophyceae; Nostocales; Nostocaceae.